RNAcentral lists this ribosomal RNA (734 nucleotides) under Gram-positive bacterium SY250. RNAcentral's name for it is "partial 16S ribosomal RNA". It matches the Rfam family "Bacterial small subunit ribosomal RNA", at positions 65 to 816 of the family's 1533-position model. The record is from RNAcentral.
AACGGUAAGGCCCCUUCGGGGGUACACGAGUGGCGAACGGGUGAGUAACACGUGGGUAAUCUGCCCUGCACUUCGGGAUAAGCCUGGGAAACUGGGUCUAAUACCGGAUAUGAACUCCUUCCGCAUGGUGGGGGUUGGAAAGUUUUUCGGUGCAGGANGAGCCCGCGGCCUAUCAGCUUGUUGGUGGGGUAAUGGCCUACCANGGCGACNACCGGUANNCGGCCUGAGAGGGUGAUCGGCCACACUGGGACUGANACACGGCCCAAACUCCUACGGGAGGCAACAGUGGGGAANAUUGCACAGGGGNGGAGGGCCAGAGGCAUCGACGCCNCGUGGGGGAUGANGGUCUUCNNAUUGUAAACCCCUUUCANUACGGACAAAACGCAAGUGACGGUACCUGCANAAGAGCCACCGGCUAACUACNUGCCAACAACCCCGGUAUUACCUAGGGUGCGAGCGUUGUCCGGAAUUACUGGGGGUAAAGAGCUCCUANGCNGUUUGUCACGUCNUCUGUGAAAUCCCUCGGCUUAACCGGGGGCGUGCAGGCNAUACGGGCNNACUUGAGUACUACNGGGGAGACUGGAAUUCCUGGUGUANCGGUGAAAUGCGCANAUAUCAGGAGGAACACCGGUGGCGAANGCGGNUCUCUGGGUAGUAACUGACGCUGANGANCGAAANCAUGGGUAGCNAACANGAUUANUACCCUGGUAGUCCAUGCCNUANACNGUGGGCGC